GAAGCAUAUCUGAAUUCUUAGCUAGAGCUCUCCAGCCACUAGAGCCGCUAUCGGUUCAAAAUGCUGUUUAGUAUCUGAAGAACCAGGGCGCUAGUUGUCAAUUCUUCCUGUGGAGCCCAAACUCAGCAAAAUGCUCAUUCUGGGCGCUAUCUUCAACUGUUUGGAUCCCAUAAUGACUGUUGUUGCUGGUCUUAGUGUAAGGGAUCCAUUUCUGAUGCCGGCUGACAAGAAGGAUUUGUUUUAUAUGCAUGUUUCAUACAGCUUGCAGAGUCUGCUAAGGCCCAGUUUUCUGCUCGUGACUAUAGUGAUCAUCUUGCACUUGUCCGAGCUUAUGAGGGUUGGAAAGAGGCUGAAGCUCAGCAAGCUGGCUACGAGUACUGUUGGCAAAAUUUUCUUUCUUCUCAAACACUUAGGGCCAUUGACUCCCUUCGAAAGCAAUUCUGUUACUUGCUUAAAGAUAUUGGGUUGGUUGAUCACAAUUCUGAGACCUACAGUAGAUGGAGUCAUGAGGAGCAUCUUGUCCGAGCAGUCAUCUGUGCGGGUUUGUUUCCUGGAGUAUCAUCUGUUGUGGAUGGUCACCUAAAAAUGUUGGGAGGUUAUUUGGAAUUUUUCAUGAAACCUGAAUUAGCUAACACUUACUUGCGGUUGAAGGGGGAGCUGGAGGAACUGAUACAGAAAAAACUUCUGAAUCGCAUGACGAGCUUCUUUCAGCUGUUAGAUUGGUGAUAUCUGAGGACCACUGUGAUGGCAGAUUCAUAUUUGGUCGCCGGGCCACACCUGCACCCAAAGUAAAAGAGGCAACAAACUCCAAAAGUAGUGCUGGAGUAGAGGCUGAGAAUUUUAAAAACCAGCUUCAGACAUUACUUAACAGGGCUGGACAUGAAGUGCCAACUUACAAAACAAGGCAACUGAAGAACAACCAAUUCCGUUCCACCAUCAAUUUUUAAUGGCUUGGAUUUUGUUGGCCAGCCUUGCAGCAACAAGAAACAAUCAGAAAAAUCUGCUGCCGCUGAGGCUCUUCUAUGGCUGAAAGGUGAUAUGCAUUCUUCACACGAUGUUGCCAGCCAUAUGUCUGUGCUUUUGAAAAAGAGCAACAAGAAAGAUAAGAAAACUUCAUCAAAACGUGCUAAAUGGAGCUGACUCGAAUCUACAAGAUCUCUAUCUUGGAUAGAUCAUUUUUACGUGGUUUUUCACCGAGGAAGAACAUGUUCAUUUUCAAGGCACUGGUUUCAUCUUUCCAGUCACAAUUUCAACAGUAAGUGUAUGGAACUACUAAUGGUGAGGGAACUAGAAUCUAAAUGUUACAAAUCUGAGCCCUUGUGCCCUUUUUUAAGAUCUGGGAGUCCUUGUUCUUGUAAAGGGUGAUUCCAUCCAGAAUCUACCGAGUUUCAAAGCAAAACGGAAAACAGCUCUAGAUUGGGAGGCUGAGCAGUUACCGUUCAGACUAAGGACACUAAUCUAUGCUGAUCAUGCAUUCUUCCAAUUCAUUGUUUUUGAUGUGGAAGUUGGAAGGCAUAUGUAUCCACUAUUCUUUAAAGUAUAUUGUAGCUGCUUAGGAAACAGGUUUACAUUAAUCAAGUUAGCCGAUCAUCCAUUUGAAUGAAAUGUAGUAUAUGUAUUAAGGGACUUGGUACACCUACAAACAAUCUUUUACUUAUAAUACAUUUCGUCUUUAUA
This is a non-coding RNA of Arachis ipaensis, 1677 nucleotides long. The record is from RefSeq and is a predicted model, not a curated record. Lineage: Eukaryota; Viridiplantae; Streptophyta; Magnoliopsida; Fabales; Fabaceae.